UGCUUCUGAAGGCAACCAGAAUGAAUUUUGCAACCAAGCUCUGUCAACUUUAUUGCUGGUGAAACCUGGAACGUGAUGAGUAAUGUUUCCACUUUCUUUUUCCCACAAGCAGAGAUAACAGUGCAUCCAUCCUCACCAUCAUGGAACCCAGACAUCCCACACUGCAGUGGAACAAAGAAGGAUGAGUGGAAGAAAGGAAUGAGCAGCAGAAGAAGGCAUCACUGGAACCUUAAGCUUCUAGAGGGUACAAGACAAGACUGUUUGCAAAGCAGAAGACAGCAGCCAGGGCAAGGUGGGGGUCAGGAUAUCACCACUAGGAGAGACAGAGUCCAGGUGCUUCUUCAGCCAGCCCCAUGCUUCCAGGAAGUGCACUCAGGCUCAGAUUUAAGAAACUCACAGGGAGACUCUAACCUCAAGAGCAAAAGGAUUAGGGGGCUAAGCAGAGGUGAGCAAUGGGUCACUGGAUAAAACAUACACAAACCUUCUGAAUUGAAGGAUAACCUGAAAACACUAGAGUUCUGCAACAUUAAAUAAACCUUCUAAAGUUCAGGUGCCAAUCAGGGCUUCAGUUUGUAAAAGCAGAAAUCUCAACGGCUAACUCUGUUGACAAAUUGCUAGCAUUUCCUCCCUUAGGUUAAGCCAGAAGUCAUUGACAGCAACAUUACAUGCAUUCCCAC
Molecule: long non-coding RNA, 677 nt
Filed under: Chinchilla lanigera (long-tailed chinchilla)
Lineage: Eukaryota; Metazoa; Chordata; Mammalia; Rodentia; Chinchillidae
Description: lncRNA (ENSCLAG00000024096.1)
Source: RNAcentral